UGCCAGCCGCCGCGGUAAUACGGAGGGUGCAAGCGUUAAUCGGAAUUACUGGGCGUAAAGCGCGCGUAGGUUGAUUGGUCAGUCAGAUGUGAAAUCCCGGGGCUUAACCCCGGAACUGCAUUUGAAACUGCUAGGCUAGAGUGUGGUAGAGGCCAGCGGAAUUCCCAGUGUAGAGGUGAAAUUCGUAGAUAUUGGGAAGAACACCAGUUGCGAAGGCGGCUGGCUGGGCCACAACUGACGCUAAAGUGCGAAAGCGUGGGUAGCAAACAGGAUUAGAUA
Molecule: ribosomal RNA, 279 nt
Filed under: uncultured bacterium
Lineage: Bacteria
Description: partial 16S ribosomal RNA
Rfam family: Bacterial small subunit ribosomal RNA
Source: RNAcentral